CCUACGGGCGGCAGCAGUAGGGAAUAUUCCGCAAUGGGCGCAAGCCUGACGGAGCAACGCCGCGUGAGCGAGGAAGGCCUUCGGGUCGUAAAGCUCUGUUGUCGGGGAAGAACGGCGCAAAGGGGAUUUGCGUGUGACGGUACCCGACGAGAAAGCCCCGGCUAACUACGUGCCAGCAGCCGCGGUAAUACGUAGGGGGCGAGCGUUGUCCGGAAUCAUUGGGCGUAAAGCGUGCGCAGGCGGCUUCUUAAGUUGGGAGUGAAAGGCCGCGGCUUAACCGCGGAUAGGCUUUCAAAACUGGGGAGCUUGAGUGCAGGAGAGGGAAGCGGAACUCCAUGUGUAGCGGUGAAAUGCGUAGAGAUAUGGAGGAACACCGGUGGCGAAGGCGGCUUCCUGGCCUGUAACUGACGCUCAGGCACGAAAGCGUGGGGAGCAAACAGGAUUAGAUACCCCUGUAGUC
RNAcentral lists this ribosomal RNA (460 nucleotides) under uncultured bacterium. RNAcentral's name for it is "bacterial SSU rRNA". It matches the Rfam family "Bacterial small subunit ribosomal RNA", at positions 338 to 795 of the family's 1533-position model. The record is from RNAcentral.